CCUACGGGGAGCUGCAGUGAGGAAUAUUGGUCAAUGGACGAGAGUCUGAACCAGCCAAGUGGCGUGAAGGAUGACUGCCCUAUGGGUUGUAAACUUCUUUUAUAUGGGAAUAAAAUGUUCCACGUGUGGGAUUUUGUAUGUACCAUAUGAAUAAGGAUCGGCUAACUCCGUGCCAGCAGCCGCGGUAAUACGGAGGAUCCGAGCGUUAUCCGGAUUUAUUGGGUUUAAAGGGAGCGUAGGUGGAUUGUUAAGUCAGUUGUGAAAGUUUGCGGCUCAACCGUAAAAUUGCAGUUGAAACUGGCAGUCUUGAGUACAGUAGAGGUGGGCGGAAUUCGUGGUGUAGCGGUGAAAUGCUUAGAUAUCACGAAGAACUCCGAUUGCGAAGGCAGUUCACUGGACUGCAACUGACACUGAGGCUCGAAAGUGUGGGUAUCAAACAGGAUUAGAUACCCGGGUAGUC
RNAcentral lists this ribosomal RNA (460 nucleotides) under uncultured bacterium. RNAcentral's name for it is "partial 16S ribosomal RNA". It matches the Rfam family "Bacterial small subunit ribosomal RNA", at positions 338 to 795 of the family's 1533-position model. The record is from RNAcentral.